This 576-nucleotide ribosomal RNA is filed under the name uncultured fungus. Its description in RNAcentral is "eukaryotic LSU rRNA". The stretch from base 217 to 370 matches the Rfam family "5.8S ribosomal RNA". Lineage: Eukaryota; Fungi. The record is from RNAcentral.
UUUAGAGGAAGUAAAAGUCGUAACAAGGUCUCCGUAGGUGAACCUGCGGAGGGAUCAUUACAAGUGACCCCGGUCUUACCACCGGGAUGUUCAUAACCCUUUGUUGUCCGACUCUGUUGCCUCCGGGGCGACCCUGCCUUCGGGCGGGGGCCCCGGGUGGACACUUCAAACUCUUGCGUAACUUUGCAGUCUGAGUAAACUUAAUUAAUAAAUUAAAACUUUUAACAACGGAUCUCUUGGUUCUGGCAUCGAUGAAGAACGCAGCAAAAUGCGAUAAGUAAUGUGAAUUGCAGAAUUCAGUGAAUCAUCGAAUCUUUGAACGCACAUUGCGCCCGCCAGUAUUCUGGCGGGCAUGCCUGUUCGAGCGUCAUUUCAACCCUCAAGCUCAGCUUGGUGUUGGGACUCGCGGUAACCCGCGCUCCCCAAAUCGAUUGGCGGUCACGUCGAGCUUCCAUAGCGUAGUAAUCAUACACCUCGUUACUGGUAAUCGUCGCGGCCACGCCGUUAAACCCCAACUUCUGAAUGUUGACCUCGGAUCAGGUAGGAAUACCCGCUGAACUUAAGCAUAUCAAUAAG